RNAcentral lists this unclassified non-coding RNA (240 nucleotides) under soil metagenome. Its description in RNAcentral is "partial contains 5.8S ribosomal RNA, internal transcribed spacer 2, and large subunit ribosomal RNA". The record is from RNAcentral.
AACUGAUACUACCUGCGGGAACCUGCGGAAGGAUCAUUACUGAAGUGCUUGGAGAUGUUGCUGGCUUCUUUGUUUGAGAAGCAAUGUGCACUCUUCCAACUUUUCACAAUUUCCUUCACACCCCUUGUGCACCCUUGGUAGGGCCCCUUUUCAGGCUUUUAUAACCUGACAAAGGGACGACUCUAUGUGUUGCUACCCUUCACACUUAUUGAAUGUAUGGUGUCAUUAUGAACAUAAAAA